Molecule: ribosomal RNA, 178 nt
Filed under: uncultured Enterobacterales bacterium
Lineage: Bacteria; Pseudomonadati; Pseudomonadota; Gammaproteobacteria; Enterobacterales
Description: partial 16S ribosomal RNA
Rfam family: Bacterial small subunit ribosomal RNA
Source: RNAcentral
AAACGGUAGCUAAUACCGCAUAAUGUCGCAAGACCAAAGAGGGGGACCUUCGGGCCUCUUGCCAUCAGAUGUGCCCAGAUGGGAUUAGCUAGUAGGUGGGGUAACGGCUCACCUAGGCGACGAUCCCUAGCUGGUCUGAGAGGAUGACCAGCCACACUGGAACUGAGACACGGUCCAG